GACAAUUCGCUGACUAAGAAUUACGUGUCUCGAAAGUCCAUGGCUAAAAAGUUCUCCAUGUGGAUAGCAGAACUCAUUCUGCUGCAUUUCAAAACUACCUAUGACUUGUAUUUGUCUGGCCAGACAAAAUGUGAGCUUGAAAGAGAAUACAUGCAGACGAAUGCGUAUAUUGCAUGUUUUAGGAACUAUCAGCAUUAAUAAUGUCACCACCUUGAAAGACACUCAGAUGACAGGCAUUAGAAGCAGGGCGAGACGAGGCAUGGGGGCCGGUGGCCGUGGUGGCCCGGCGGCAGGUGUAGGCACACGGCGGCAGCGGCACCCCGCGACCCUUCAGACCCUUCAGUCGGAGCGAGGGAAGCGCCUGCGCCGGCUGGGGCUGCGGCGAGCGUCGAGGAUCGCUGGAAGAGUGAAUUUCUCCUGCCCGAGUAACGGGGAACGGGGCAAACCUGCCGCGGCUCCCAGGUGGAGGUGGAUCUUGGAUGAAGAGACUGACCAAAUUAAAAAUAUAUAUGUAUAUAUAUUAAAUAAAGGGAUCUCAGAAUAUGCUUCUGUUUCUGUAUAGAGGAUAUUUUUCUACAUCUCCUGUCCUCCACCUUGGAUUUUGUUGAUGCAUAGUGUUCACCAACAAAUGCUAUUCUGUUUAGAAGACACCUUUUCUGUACCUCCUACAACUAUGGCUUAGGAAGAGUAUCACAGUGCACUUUACUCCUGUCUUAAGGCAGGGUAUGACUGUCUGGUGAUUGCAGAUUUUCAGGGAAUAUGCUGUCUUGAUUAUCAGUUCCUAGACAAUACAGUUUAGUUUUUAUUCCUACGAAGUGGUAGAUACAGAAUGCAGUGCAAGUACCAGGAAAGCACAGAUUUAGAGUAUUAUAUAUAGUGGCCCUGGGUCUUACAAAAUAAAAGUGUGUGUGUAAAGGAUAGUUUGCA
Molecule: long non-coding RNA, 927 nt
Filed under: Anas platyrhynchos platyrhynchos (common mallard)
Lineage: Eukaryota; Metazoa; Chordata; Aves; Anseriformes; Anatidae
Description: lncRNA (ENSAPLG00000018588.1)
Source: RNAcentral